UGUGUCUGUGUGUGCGUGUGUCUGUGUGUGUGUGUGUGUGCCCCUGUGAUGCUGCUACAUUCAUAUCUUGCCAAUAAAUUGAUGCUGAUAAGUAACCUAUUAUCUAAAAUAACACAUACACAGCGAGGUAUGGACCUUACGGUCUUACGGUGGUCGGUAAGAGAAAAAGGAUCUUUCUCUAGCGGCUGUAAAACGACGUGCUGCCAGAUGCUGGUGGAAGUGACUUGUACGUGGAAGCCUGUUCCUGGAUGAAAGCUGCAGUGGAAGUUCCCUCUCAUGGAGCGAAGGAACUCAAGGAGGGAAAGAGGAGAGGGGAAGAGGAAAGACGGCGCAGAGGGAAGGACUGAGUGGUACUUAUUGGAUGAAGACUUCAAAGCAGCACAGCAGCCAGACGGACUGAGGCUCCGGGGAAAUUAUUUACCUGACAAGCACACAGCUUUCCAAACAUUACACAACAUUACUGACCAAACAUUUAGAAAACAGAACCCUCUCUCCACAGAUUUAGUUAGGUGAAUCACAUCCGGUGAGUAAGCAGAUUAUUCAACAGAGGGACGAGAUGUCUCUGCUGUCUCUCUCGUCCCCCGUCACUCCAACUUUUCAAAAUCACAGAUGAUCAACACACUGGAACUGCUCACUGUGACGCUACAAUGAAGUUUACUUUUCUGCAGCUGUGUAACAUCUGUGGCUCAAAGAAGC
Gasterosteus aculeatus aculeatus (three-spined stickleback) is the source of this 696-nucleotide long non-coding RNA. Lineage: Eukaryota; Metazoa; Chordata; Actinopteri; Perciformes; Gasterosteidae. The record is from Ensembl.